CAUAUGUCAGGUUGGGUAUCAGACGUCACCUCUCUGGGGACAUCUCAGGCCCUCCAAGGUAUGGAGGCCUAUCUCCCCCCACCACUUCCCCUGCCGGUGGCAGACGCCCUCAGACAUCGGUGCGUUGGUGGUUCUUUGUGUCCGGGGAUGGGCGUCCAGGUACACACCGGCUCACUCCUUGGUGGCUGCUUAUCGGGGCCUGGAGCCUGGGGCUCGCUCGGGCCACUCCGGGGGUGGGGUGCCCCCGGCCUCUCGGC
This is a long non-coding RNA of Astatotilapia calliptera (eastern happy), 257 nucleotides long. NCBI's taxonomy places the organism in Eukaryota, Metazoa, Chordata, Actinopteri, Cichliformes, Cichlidae. The record is from Ensembl.